UACUUCUUGGGGGUCAGGCGGUAGCACAGUGGGUUAAGUGCACAUGGUGUGAAGCCCAAGGACCAGCAUAAAAGUCCAGGGGAGUUGAAGCAGGUCUGCAGGUAUCUAUCUUUCUCUCCCCCUUUCUGUCUCCUCUCUUUUCGAUUUCUCUCUGUCCUAUCCAGCAAUGACAACAGUAAUAAUAACAACAAGGGUAACAACAGGGGCAACAAAAUGGGAAAAAUGGCCUCCAGGAGCAGUGGAUUUGUAAUGCAGGCACCAAGCCCUAGCAAUGACCCUGGAGGCAAAAAAAAAACAACAAAAAACUUCAUGCGGGCUGGGGGCACAGCCUAAUGAUUAUGCAAAGAGACUUUCAUGGCUGAGGUUCCAAGGUUCCAGGUUCAAUUCCCAGCAACACCAUAAGCCAGAGCAGUGCUCUGAUCUCUCUUCCCCUGCUCUCUGUAUCUCUCACUAAAGUAAAUAAAAUAAAAUAAAAUAAAGAUUUACUUCAUGAAUAAAAGGGAGUGGAAACCAAAGCAUUGCUGUAGCAAGUAUCACUAGGAAUCAAACCUUGUAUAUUGCAAAUUCUGAGCUCUGCCUACUAAAUCACAACAAAAUUUUUGAGUCUCACUGAUAGAAACUUUGCUCCCAAGGAAUUGUUCAGUAAAACUUUUACUUCUCCACUUUAAAUUCUUACCAUGCACAAGGACCCAGGUUCGAGUCCCCGGUUCCCACCUACAAGGGGAAAGCUUCACAAGUGGUGAAACAAGGCUGCAGUAAUCAGAGGACUCUGCAAACCAGUACUACCUGCUGUGUCAAGGCUGACUUGAGGACAUUUGCUGAGCAAAGAGAAACCCAGGAGAUCAACAAUCUUUUCCUGCUUUUCCUCUUUAAUCUGCUUGAUGGACCCAUAGAAAAGCCAGCCAGAAUCCUCUAAGGUUUCUAGGCCCAAAAUGGAGUUAAGAGUUAAACCUACUUAGACUUUAAAGAGCUGAAGGGUGCUAACAGUAUCCCCAAUAUAACCUAGAUCUGAAGAAACUGGCAAACCUCACUGUGCCACUCCUAGUCUACUUGCCUUAUAAAAGUCUAGCAAAAUUGACUGCAAUGGCUAACCACCAGUCUACCUUGCCAUAGUGGAGGCCAGUGUAGAAACCCGAGGGCAAUACCAAAGGGAGGAACAACUGCUUACCAAUUCUGUAACAGACUGAGGAAAGCCAAGUGGGACAUUUCAUUUACUCUAGGCAAGUUAUUUAACCUCUAAGGUUGUUUUUUUUUUUUUUAAAUCUUUAUUGUUGAUUACUAAUCUUGUCCAAGAAAAUACUGGAGGGUAAGUCUUUUCUGUUACACCUCUGUACUAUAGCCCUUCCCCAGUAAAUUAUAUGCCACAGAGGAACUGAGUAAAGAUUUGGUCGAGUGAUGAAUAGUCCCACUCUGGUAGCUCCUUGAACUGUUUGUCCUAACGUUUUCUCUUUAAAUAUUGGAAAAUCAGCCUUUGAUAGACUUCUGGUUUCCUAUAACCCAAACCCUAGGCCUAUUUUUCUCUGAGAUUCUUGAGAAGUUAGAAAUGUCUAACUCUUCUAUUGGGAAUCCAAGGGUAAAGACAAUUUGGAGAAACAGACAGACAUUCUAGUGAGUUUGGAUUCAUUCUUAGCAGACUCUGAGGUAUAACAGAAAGAGAAGUUAAAGUCCGUUGAUUUGCUUUUUUUUUUUUUAUUUAACCUCUUGCACCUGUUUUAUCUUAUUGAGUGCUAUAAGUAAUAGCUGACUUAGGGGUAGGGGAACAACACAGUGGUUUAUGCAGCAUGUUGAUCUUAUAAACCACUAUGAUGGUGCUGGGGACUGAGCCUGGGACUUCUGGUGCCUUAGGCAUGAAAGUCCUUUUACCAUAUAACCAUUAUACUAUCUCUAUCUGCAGAAGUCCCAGGUUCAGUUGAGAGCACCACCAUAAGCCAGAGCUGAGUAGUGCUCUGAUAAAAUAAAAUAAAAUAAAAUAAAAUAAAAUAAAAUAAAAUAAAAUAAAAUACACCUAAUUGAUUAGGUGCUUUGUAUGAGCUACUAUAUCAAGCAUUUAUUUGCACUGUUUAACUUAAUCCUGUCCCUUGUACUCAGAGCAACAAGGAUCAAGAGAGAUGAAUAGUGGUCCGGGAGGUGGCACAGUGGAUAAGGCACUGGACUCUCAAGCAUGAGGUCCUGAGUUCAAUCCCCAGCAACACAUGUACCAGAGUGAUGUUUGGUUCUUUCUCUCUCUCCUAUCAUUUCUCAUGAAUCAAUAAAUAAAACAUUUUAAAAAGAAAAGAAAGAUAAAUAACUGACCUGAAUUAAAAACAAAACAAGCAAACAACAACAACAAAAAAAGGUACUACCAAAUUUUAUAGGUCAUGCUACUAACCUGUUUGUACCUCUCACAGCCAUAUACAGUAAAGCAUUAUAUUUGAGUUAAAGGUUUAUCUAAAGGAAUAAACAGGACAUCUUGAUUUACCCAGGAUUGAUAUGUCUCCUAGAAUAUGGAGCCUUUAGUGCUAAAACUAAGAAAAGUGCCAGGUUACCCAGUUUGCCACCCCAUGUUUACACUUAGAUUCAGUCCAUGACUGGACACUGAGGCCAUAUUUGUCUUGACUGCUUGUUCUCCUGGGCCUACUUUGUGGUCAGUGUUCCUUAAUCUAAAAUUCAAGAAUCUGUUUCAGUUCAGCAGGCAGGGAAAGAGUUUGAAGUAGUAAGUUAGAUAAUCAGAUGGCAUGGUCUGGGAGGUGGCGCGGUGUAUAAAGCAUUGGAUUCUCAACCAUGAGGUCCCGAGUUCAAUCUCCGGCAGCACAUGUGCCAGAGUGGUGUCUAGUUCUUUCUCUCUCUGCCUAUCUUUCUAAUGAAUAAAUAAACAAAUUCUUUUAAAAAA
Molecule: long non-coding RNA, 2869 nt
Organism: Erinaceus europaeus (western European hedgehog)
Lineage: Eukaryota; Metazoa; Chordata; Mammalia; Eulipotyphla; Erinaceidae
Exons: 2
Source: RefSeq, a predicted model, not a curated record